CUCUGUGACUCCUACGGGAGGCAGCAGUGGGGAAUAUUGCACAAUGGGCGCAAGCCUGAUGCAGCCAUGCCGCGUGUGUGAAGAAGGCCUUCGGGUUGUAAAGCACUUUCAGUAGGGAGGAAGGUAGUGUAGUUAACACCUGCAUUAUUUGACGUUACCUACAGAAGAAGCACCGGCUAACUCCGUGCCAGCAGCCGCGGUAAUACGGAGGGUGCGAGCGUUAAUCGGAAUUACUGGGCGUAAAGCGCAUGCAGGCGGCCUGUUAAGUCAGAUGUGAAAGCCCGGGGCUUAACCUCGGAAUUGCAUUUGAAACUGGCAGGCUAGAGUCUUGUAGAGGGGGUAGAAUUUCAGGUGUAGCGGUGAAAUGCGUAGAGAUCUGAAGGAAUACCAGUGGCGAAGGCGGCCCCCUGGACAAAGACUGACGCUCAGAUGCGAAAGCGUGGGGAGCAAACAGGAUUAGAUACCCUGGUAG
RNAcentral lists this ribosomal RNA (472 nucleotides) under uncultured bacterium. Its description in RNAcentral is "bacterial SSU rRNA". It matches the Rfam family "Bacterial small subunit ribosomal RNA", at positions 328 to 793 of the family's 1533-position model. The record is from RNAcentral.